Molecule: non-coding RNA, 1467 nt
Organism: Linepithema humile (Argentine ant)
Lineage: Eukaryota; Metazoa; Arthropoda; Insecta; Hymenoptera; Formicidae
Source: RefSeq, a predicted model, not a curated record
AAUGCAAAAAGAAAUCUUACACAUCAUUGUCGCUGUGCGAUCAAAUCACGCUUCGAGACAAACAAUUCACGUACGUGGCGGAAUUUGUAAUUAUCAGACUGCCAUUGCGUCAGUGCUGAGUGCGACGUUAAUAAUAGCGCGUUGCAAUCGCGAGAAGAGCGCAAGAUUUGCGACGACCGUUGCAAUUCAACAUCGUCGCGACUAACCAGUCUUUCGCAAAACUUGUGAACGCGCGGGGCAGAAAGUGCUGACACUUUUGGGAAUUUAUCGCGACCUUGAAGGUGAUUUGCAUUCGAGCAGUGACGACUUCUGUAGGGACAAAAAAAUAAUGGAUAAACAAGAAAAAAGAAAGAAGCGGAAAGGAGAGAUAAUGGCCUAACAUGCAUGCCAAGGAAUUUUACUAACAAUAAGCCUUGCAUAGUGAAUCAAGCGGAAAGUGGUGCUUCGAUGAAAGCCGCUAAAACUGAAAAAAGCGUCUAUUGCGAAAAUCGAGUGUUUUGUUUCCGAUGUGGCAACGAGAUCGAGUAUGUGUAAAGAGGAAAAGGAAAGAAAGAGGAAACACUUCUUAACACUUUGUCCAUAAAUGACACUGUUUUUAAAUUGAAUAUUGUCAUUUGUUACAGAUAACGCAAAGUGUGUGUUAAAAUGAAUAUUAAAGUGGAAGGACAUUGGGAAAUGAAAAAUCAGUCCGUAGACGAGCGAGACUAAUACACAGUAGGGGGCGGUACCCCGUGUCUUACCGGCACGAGGCAAACAGGGGAACCAGCUGUGUUCUAUCCUUGUUCGGGUCGCUCUAAGGGGGUCGAGGAUUAUUAAAACGGACGAGGGACAGGGAAGAGAAGCGAGAGAACCGGGGGGCAGCCUUCUACUGUUACGGUGCACAGCCUCUGAACCGGUAACCCCCACUACACCGCGUCUCUCUCUUUUCGUCCGUCUCUCUUUCCCUUUCUCUCCUUCAAUCUCCCUGAUUCGGUAUUCAAGUCGGAGCCGCGGUGCAUGCUCUCGGUGCAUAAAAUGCCCCCCUACAAUGAUCCCAAUCAACUGUGGUACCCGUGCGCGCGCGCGCGCGCGCGCGUGAGCGCGAAGCUCAGCAAUCAGAGCCGCUUUGAUGACGGCGGCCAAAAAUUCGGCAUUAAUUCAAUGAGAGACGCCGCGCGAUCGAUCGGUCGAUCGAUCGGAGGCUCGUUGUGGAUCCGUGCGCGGACGAAAGUGGAUCAUCUAUCUUGAUCAGCGAGCUUGAAAGCCGAAACAUUCUCAAACGAGCGUUGAAGCGCCCCUCGAGCGGCAACGUCCCGCGAGAAAUAAACCGAGAGGCCCAAGGUUGCAGUAAAACAUGAUCGAUGAAUGCUAUAAAGAGUCAUCCGAAGAACUUUUACACACACAUAGGCAAGCGGCGAAAAUAAUACAGUAUUUGUCUACUUUGUAGAAAUAGUGUUUUCAUUAAUUGUACAAUAAAGCGACAUUUCU